Molecule: ribosomal RNA, 253 nt
Filed under: uncultured bacterium
Lineage: Bacteria
Description: partial 16S ribosomal RNA
Rfam family: Bacterial small subunit ribosomal RNA
Source: RNAcentral
UACGUAGGGUGCGAGCGUUAAUCGGAAUUACUGGGCGUAAAGCGUGCGCAGGCGGUUCGUUAAGUUCGUUGUGAAAGCCCCGGGCUCAACCUGGGAACUGCAAUGGAAACUGGCGGGCUUGAGUGUGGCAGAGGGGGGUGGAAUUCCGCGUGUAGCAGUGGAAUGCGUAGAGAUGCGGAGGAACACCGAUGGCGAAGGCAGCCCCCUGGGCCAACACUGACGCUCAGGCACGAAAGCGUGGGGAGCAAACAGG